AAGAAGGUGGCAGAGUGGCUAUGUGGUUGGCUUGAAACUAGCCUACGGGGGUUCAAUUCCCUCCCUUCUUG
RNAcentral lists this transfer RNA (71 nucleotides) under Sternopygus macrurus. Its description in RNAcentral is "tRNA-Ser". It matches the Rfam family "tRNA". From Rfam's summary of the family: Transfer RNA (tRNA) molecules are approximately 80 nucleotides in length. Their secondary structure includes four short double-helical elements and three loops (D, anti-codon, and T loops). Further hydrogen bonds mediate the characteristic L-shaped molecular structure. tRNAs have two regions of fundamental functional importance: the anti-codon, which is responsible for specific mRNA codon recognition, and the 3' end, to which the tRNAs corresponding amino acid is attached (by aminoacyl-tRNA synthetases). tRNAs cope with the degeneracy of the genetic code in two manners: having more than one tRNA (with a specific anti-codon) for a particular amino acid; and 'wobble' base-pairing, i.e. permitting non-standard base-pairing at the 3rd anti-codon position. Lineage: Eukaryota; Metazoa; Chordata; Actinopteri; Gymnotiformes; Sternopygidae. The record is from RNAcentral.